GACGAACGCUGGCGGCGUGCUUAACACAUGCAAGUCGAACGGAAAGGCCCUGCUUUUGUGGGGUGCUCGAGUGGCGAACGGGUGAGUAACACGUGAGUAACCUGCCCUUGACUUUGGGAUAACUUCAGGAAACUGGGGCUAAUACCGGAUAGGAGCUCCUGCUGCAUGGUGUGGGUUGGAAAGUUUCGGCGGUUGGGGAUGGACUCGCGGCUUAUCAGCUUGUUGGUGGGGUAGUGGCUUACCAAGGCUUUGACGGGUAGCCGGCCUGGGAGGGUGACCGGCAACAUUGGGACUGAGAUAGGGCCCAGACUCCUACGGGAGGGAGCAGUGGGGAAUAUUACACAAUGGGCGGAAGCCAGAUGCAGCAACGCCGCGGGCGGGAUGACGGCCUUCGGGUUGUAAACCGCUUUCGCCUGUGACGAAGCGUGAGUGACGGUAAUGGGUAAAGAAGCACCGGCUAACUACGUG
Molecule: ribosomal RNA, 468 nt
Filed under: uncultured bacterium
Lineage: Bacteria
Description: partial 16S ribosomal RNA
Rfam family: Bacterial small subunit ribosomal RNA
Source: RNAcentral